CCUACGGGGGUCAGCAGUGGGGCAUAUUGCGCAAUGGGCGAAAGCCUGACGCAGCGACGCCGCGUGAGGGAUGAAGGUCUUCGGAUCGUAAACCUCUGUCAGCAGGGAAGAACGGUCACUGUGCUAAUCAGCAGUGAAUUGACGGUACCUGCAAAGGAAGCACCGGCUAACUCCGUGCCAGCAGCCGCGGUAAUACGGAGGGUGCGAGCGUUAAUCGGAAUUACUGGGCGUAAAGCGCUCGUAGGCGGUAUGUCAAGUCAAGGGUGAAAGCCCCGCGCUCAACGUGGGAACUGCCUUUGAAACUGGCAAACUGGAGUGUGUGAGAGGAUAGUGGAAUUCCAGGUGUAGGAGUGAAAUCCGUAGAUAUCUGGAGGAACAUCAGUGGCGAAGGCGACUAUCUGGCACAUAACUGACGCUGAGGAGCGAAAGCGUGGGUAGCAAACAGGAUUAGAUACCCUAGUAGUC
Molecule: ribosomal RNA, 465 nt
Filed under: uncultured bacterium
Lineage: Bacteria
Description: partial 16S ribosomal RNA
Rfam family: Bacterial small subunit ribosomal RNA
Source: RNAcentral